Molecule: ribosomal RNA, 477 nt
Filed under: uncultured bacterium
Lineage: Bacteria
Description: partial 16S ribosomal RNA
Rfam family: Bacterial small subunit ribosomal RNA
Source: RNAcentral
GAUGAACGCUGGCGGCGUGCCUAAUACAUGCAAGUCGAGCGGAAAGACGCGGAUUUUGCGGCGCGGACGUUAGGGGCGCGGGGGAGUGUAACACGUGGAUCAUGCACCUGUCUGUCUGAGAACACCUGGGGAAUGGGGAGCUAAUCCGAGAGAAUCUAUUGAACCACAGGGUUGGAUAGUAAGAUACGGUGUUGUCGGCGGUUGUAGCUGGAUCCGCGGCUUAUCAGCUUGUUGGUGGGGUAAUGGCUUACGAAGGCUAUGACGCGUAGGCGGCCUGAGAGGGUGACCGGCCACAUUGGGACUGAGAUACGGCCCAGACUCCUACGGGAGGCAGCAGUGGGGAAUAUUGCACAAUGGGCGGAAGCCUGAUGCAGCAACGCCGCGUGCGGGAUGACGGCCUUCGGGUUGUAAACCGCUUUCGCCUGUGACGAAGCGUGAGUGACGGUAAUGGGUAAAGAAGCACCGGCUAACUACGUG